RNAcentral lists this transfer RNA (66 nucleotides) under Mitjaevia dworakowskae. RNAcentral's name for it is "tRNA-Glu". The record is from RNAcentral. Lineage: Eukaryota; Metazoa; Arthropoda; Insecta; Hemiptera; Cicadellidae.
ACCUUUAUAGUUUAUAAAAAUAUUUUAUUUUCAUUAAAAAGAUAAUCAAUUUAAGAUUUAUAGGUU